Molecule: ribosomal RNA, 568 nt
Filed under: Alternaria sp. BAB-5088
Lineage: Eukaryota; Fungi; Ascomycota; Dothideomycetes; Pleosporales; Pleosporaceae
Also listed under: 1 other name
Description: eukaryotic LSU rRNA
Rfam family: 5.8S ribosomal RNA (bases 194-347)
Source: RNAcentral
CGUAGGUGAACCUGCGGAGGGAUCAUUACACAAAUAUGAAGGCGGGCUGGAAUCUCUCGGGGUUACAGCCUUGCUGAAUUAUUCACCCUUGUCUUUUGCGUACUUCUUGUUUCCUUGGUGGGUUCGCCCACCACUAGGACAAACAUAAACCUUUUGUAAUUGCAAUCAGCGUCAGUAACAAAUUAAUAAUUACAACUUUCAACAACGGAUCUCUUGGUUCUGGCAUCGAUGAAGAACGCAGCGAAAUGCGAUAAGUAGUGUGAAUUGCAGAAUUCAGUGAAUCAUCGAAUCUUUGAACGCACAUUGCGCCCUUUGGUAUUCCAAAGGGCAUGCCUGUUCGAGCGUCAUUUGUACCCUCAAGCUUUGCUUGGUGUUGGGCGUCUUGUCUCUAGCUUUGCUGGAGACUCGCCUUAAAGUAAUUGGCAGCCGGCCUACUGGUUUCGGAGCGCAGCACAAGUCGCACUCUCUAUCAGCAAAGGUCUAGCAUCCAUUAAGCCUUUUUUCAACUUUUGACCUCGGAUCAGGUAGGGAUACCCGCUGAACUUAAGCAUAUCAAUAAGCGGAGGAA